GAUGUGACAGAUUUCCUAACCUGUCAAGUCGGCAAAUUUAAUCAUUGAUAACCUCAUUUGUGGAGCAGAGCGACAAUUUUUUCUGCCAAUUUUUUUCAUUUUAAGUAAAAACGCGUCGAAUAAGCAUAAUUACAGCAAUAUUGGAGAAGAAUAAAAUAAGUAAUGCUGCAUUUCAAACAUCCAGAUGUAUUGAAACAAUAUGUCGACCAGGUACCAUUACCAAACCCAAUACUCUAGCUUCAGUAUGUUCUGUGG
This is a long non-coding RNA of Dinoponera quadriceps, 255 nucleotides long. RefSeq lists it as uncharacterized. Lineage: Eukaryota; Metazoa; Arthropoda; Insecta; Hymenoptera; Formicidae. The record is from RefSeq and is a predicted model, not a curated record. The transcript has 2 exons.